GCUACACACGUGCUACAAUGGCGCAUACAAAGAGAAGCGACCUCGCGAGAGCAAGCGGACCUCAUAAAGUGCGUCGUAGUCCGGAUUGGAGUCUGCAACUCGACUCCAUGAAGUCGGAAUCGCUAGUAAUCGUGGAUCAGAAUGCCACGGUGAAUACGUUCCCGGGCCUUGUACACACCGCCCGUCACACCAUGGGAGUGGGUUGCAAAAGAAGUAGGUAGCUUAACCUUCGGGAGGGCGCUUACCACUUUGUGAUUCAUGACUGGGGUGAAGUCGUAACAAGG
This 284-nucleotide ribosomal RNA is filed under the name Staphylococcus epidermidis. Its description in RNAcentral is "partial 16S ribosomal RNA". It matches the Rfam family "Bacterial small subunit ribosomal RNA", at positions 1213 to 1496 of the family's 1533-position model. Lineage: Bacteria; Bacillati; Bacillota; Bacilli; Caryophanales; Staphylococcaceae. The record is from RNAcentral.